CCUGCAACUCCGUCGGGAAAUCCACUCGCCUAACGAGUGGGCGUCCGGCGGAAACUACAGGGCUUGGGACCGGAAGACUUGAGGGGUACGUCUGGGGUAGGAGUGAAAUCCUGUAAUCCUGGAGGGGCCGCCGAUGGCGAAAGCACCUCAAGACGACGGAUCCGACAGUGAGGGACGAAAGCUAGGGUCUCGAACCGGAUUAGAUACCCGGGUAGUCCUAGCCGUAAACGAUGUUCGCUAGAUGUGGCACAGGCUACGUGCCUGUGCUGUGUCGUAGGGAAGCCGAGAAGCGAACCGC
RNAcentral lists this ribosomal RNA (298 nucleotides) under uncultured archaeon. RNAcentral describes it as "partial 16S ribosomal RNA". It matches the Rfam family "Archaeal small subunit ribosomal RNA", at positions 530 to 827 of the family's 1478-position model. The record is from RNAcentral.